ACAGAGACCCAUUGUAUGUCUGUCUAGGGACUUCCUGUCCUGAUGGGGGCAAAUCCAGUCAGUCAAUCUUGUUCAUGCAGUUGUCUGCCUUUCCUGUUGGGGCCACAUUUGGAGCGGAUAAGGGACAGGAGAAGAAAUGAAGGAAGGCGCACGAGAAGAGCCUGGAGAUGGAGAUGCUUUGCUGUUCCACGCUGCAGGGGUAACGGGUUUCCUCUCAGUAUUCCACGGCCAUGAUACUCUCUGCCUCUCCUCAUCUCUUGGGCUUCAGCCUGUCAAGGUGGGGAUGGGAAGGCUUGCAGAGCGCAUGGUAAGAGCUAAGCUGACACUGGAACCAUAGAGAGGCGGUGGGGGGAAACAGUGGACUGCAAACUGCUGACAUCGUUCCUCUUCUGGGUAUGCGGCAAGGAUCCCACAAAAGAAAAGCGGUGGGUGAGGCUGGAACCACAGGGGAGAAUCCAGCAGGGGGCGCUCUGCCAGCGGACCUGCCCUGCUUCCCUUGCCUGGAGCCCCCUCUGACCCUGUAGGAAGCGGACCUGCCCAGCUUCCCUUGCCCGGAGACCGUGUAGGAAGUGCCUUCUAUCAGGGUUUCCUGAGCGGAUGACACUUGCCCCUCCCUUGAUGGAUAGCCCCAUAGCUUUUUCUUGCCCCUAAUGUGGCCAGAUGUUCUCCCUAGGUCGCGUGGAGACACAGCAAAAAGGUCUGGGGCUCAGGAAACCAAGGGCUCUGAGCUGUCCUGGCUUUGUGCCUGAACAAAUAAAUCACUUGACUUUCUUAGGUCUUGGCUCGCUUUCUGUGAUAUGGGGAGCCUGUCAAGAUAUCUCAGGGUGGCAGGGGAUGGGACAUGGUGGGAAGGGGCAGCUGCUCACUGGCUAGUCGCCACCGUAAUUGUCACUGUUACCAGCAUAAAGGAAAGGCUUCUGGAGCCUUAGGGCCCAGAGGGAGGGAGGAAAGGGUUACGGGAGCAGAGGAUACCCCCUCCACACUUCCCUCUCUGUACCUGAGAGCCAAAGGAAAGAUCGGGAAGGUUUGGAAAGGCAGGAAAGCCGGACAGGCUCAGAGAAUAUAGGCUGGGUCUGGAAGAGCCUGCCCUUUUUCUCGGGGUCCUCCCCUUCCAGCUCUAUCCAUGGCCGGCAACUUCCUCCUAGGCUGUGCUAUUGUGGCAGCGGGCAUGUUUCUUUUUCAGUGUGUUUGGGAGGCAGGAUCAAGGUGGAGAAUCUCCAGUUACCAGCAUUCCUGAAACAGAUCCAAAAGAGGCCGGCCUGACAGAAGGCAGAGACACCCGCGGAAAGGGAGAGGGGCUAAAGGGGCUGGAGGACGGAGCUAAUCCAGCCUCCUUGGUCCAGUUUUAUAGUUGUUCCCAGGCCUUCUCUAGUGUCACCAAAAUGGAGUAGAGCCACUGUCUUCCCUGGGCUCAAGUUUGAGGACAAAGGUUAGAGAUCAGGGUGUGACCCCAGCCUUUACGAGUGUGCUCACAUCCUGAGCCCUAGGUUGGGUGGGCCUUUCAAAAGGCUUGUGUUGCCCCGAGGGCAGGAAAACUAAGGCUCCCCCUCCCAAAGAUCGGCCUUCUCCAUGUGUGUGAGAGUAUGCACAAAGCUGGGUCAUGUACUUCUACUAUCCUGCCUGGAGGAUCCCAGGCAGCUUGUGAGUUGUCUGUUAGACUAAGGACAGUGUGGCUCUAGGGCACAUGGAAUACAUUAUCUUCCCUAUUUUUCCAAUGAAGACAUCAAGGGUCAGAGAGGCCAAGCGACCUCACUGAGGUCGCAGGCACAGUUGACUGGAGCUCUGGGACCCUGAUCCUCUCUCUGGCUCAGGGAGUUCCUCUCAGGUUUGCAGGGCUCUGACCUUAUAGAUUUUGCUGCCUUUGAAAACAGCUCAAAUCCCAGCGGCCCCAGGGAAUGUCACGUCCCAGAUGCAGGCACAGCAUCCGUGGCUUGCCUUGAAUUCUGGCUGCCUGUUUAUGUCUUGGCUUUGCCCAAGUAGAUCAGUUAGUUAAAUUGAUGGGUUUGAGUGAUAGACUCAGGCUCUGGGCUGGGUUUGAAUCCUGUUAUCUCAGCUAUUGGCUGACCCCUUCGAGAUCAGUUAAGAAUGC
Molecule: long non-coding RNA, 2089 nt
Filed under: Mus musculus (house mouse)
Lineage: Eukaryota; Metazoa; Chordata; Mammalia; Rodentia; Muridae
Description: long non-coding RNA chr15:77343137-77345226
Source: RNAcentral